RNAcentral lists this ribosomal RNA (112 nucleotides) under uncultured bacterium. Its description in RNAcentral is "partial 16S ribosomal RNA". It matches the Rfam family "Bacterial small subunit ribosomal RNA", at positions 1369 to 1482 of the family's 1533-position model. The record is from RNAcentral.
CGUUCCCGGGUCUUGUACACACCGCCCGUCAAGUCAUGGAAGUUGUUCUACCCGAAGGUAGUGUCCUAACCGCAAGGAGGGAGCUAACCACGGUAGGGUCAAUGACUGGACU